This is a long non-coding RNA of Anguilla rostrata (American eel), 419 nucleotides long. RefSeq lists it as uncharacterized. The record is from RefSeq and is a predicted model, not a curated record. Lineage: Eukaryota; Metazoa; Chordata; Actinopteri; Anguilliformes; Anguillidae. The transcript is spliced from 2 exons.
UUCAUGACUGAUUACACUGCAUUUGACUGUCUUUACUGUAUAAUCAAUCUAUAAAAGUACUGGUCGAAGGAGCGAUUGGGAACAGGUGAUGGGGAAGGUGAUUUGACCCGUUUAAUGAAGAGCGAAACAGAAAGAGGAGCAGCACUGUGGAGAAAAUGCCGUUGUUCCCCUGCAAAUCCAGAUCAACGGAAUGCUCUUGCAUUCAACGGCUACGAUCGGGGUGUGCAGCUACUCAAACUCAAACUGUCCCAUUUGGAUCUUUCCUUUGACAUCAUACACAAUGGGGUUGUUCUGCAUGUCUGCACUACAUCCACUGAUGAACUAAAAUGGAGCUGUAUAAAAAGGGCUGUAAUUCCAACAUGGAUGCUUGAUAUGGAUCCACAUACUCACAAAUUAAAGCAGACAGUCUGUAUUCUGUA